UGAACGCUAGCUACAGGCUUAACACAUGCAAGUCGAGGGGCAGCAUAUUGAUAGCUUGCUAUGUCUGAUGGCGACCGGCGCACGGGUGCGUAACACGUAUCCAAUCUGCCCGUUACUCGGGGAUAGCCUUCUGAAAGGAAGAUUAAUACCCGAUGGCAUGUAUUUCCGGCAUCGGAGAUACAUUAAAGAUUUAUCGGUAACGGAUGAGGAUGCGUACGAUUAGCUUGUUGGCGGGGUAACGGCCCACCAAGGCGACGAUCGUUAGGGGUUCUGAGAGGAAGGUCCCCCACACUGGAACUGAGACACGGUCCAGACUCCUACGGGAGGCAGCAGUGAGGAAUAUUGGUCAAUGGUCGGAAGACUGAACCAGCCAAGUAGCGUGAAGGAUGACUGCCCUACGGGUUGUAAACUUCUUUUGUUUGGGAAUAAAAGACGCUACGUGUAGCGUUCUGCAUGUACCUUACGAAUAAGCAUCGGCUAAUUCCGUG
RNAcentral lists this ribosomal RNA (488 nucleotides) under uncultured bacterium. RNAcentral's name for it is "bacterial SSU rRNA". It matches the Rfam family "Bacterial small subunit ribosomal RNA", at positions 30 to 507 of the family's 1533-position model. The record is from RNAcentral.